This 194-nucleotide ribosomal RNA is filed under the name uncultured eukaryote. RNAcentral describes it as "partial 18S ribosomal RNA". It matches the Rfam family "Eukaryotic small subunit ribosomal RNA", at positions 1 to 189 of the family's 1831-position model. The record is from RNAcentral.
UCAACCUGGUUGAUCCUGCCAGUAGUUAUAUGCUUGUCUCAAAGAUUAAGCCAUGCAUGUCUAAGUAUAAGCAAGCUUAUACUGCGAAACUGCGAAUGGCUCAUUAAAUCAGUUAUAGUUUAUUUGAUGAUUACACUUACUACAUGGAUAACCGUAGUAAUUCUAGAGCUAAUACAUGCGCCAAUUCUCGACUC